CUCUGCUCUUUUUGAUGUCACUUAAGCGAUAUCAUUGUUUAUUAGGAUUGAAAAGACAUUCACACCCUCAGUACACUUUGGCCGUGUUUCUAGUUUAUAACCAUAGCCACGUUUGACUCUUAGAUGUUUGGCAUUUUUAUAAGAUAUUACAAGAAUAAAUUGGAAUGUAGAGCUUAAUGGUUUUUAGGUAAUGAAGAAGAUGCUAGGUAGAAAUUACUACAAAGGCAGAUGUGUGGAAUCUUUUCCUUUCCAUAGACUUUGUAUUUAUUGAAAGGCAAACAAAACCCAGAGUAUCCAACUAUCUUUAGUCCAGAUUUGUAGCAACUAUAAUCUGAAAGAGAAACUUGUUUAAAAACAAACAAAACAAAACAAAACACUGUGAAAACCAACAGGCCUGGAGGGUAUACAAUUAGCGACAUAGUUAAAUUUUAGGCUUUGGUCUGCAGCUCUUCUCAUUGAAGUCUCAGUUUACCCAAAGGUCAGACAAGUACUAGUAAUUUCCCCAACAAUUCUCACUGAUUGUAGUUGAACCAGGGAGCAAGUAUUUGCUCUAGAAGUCAACUAGUCAACAGCUCAUGGACUUGGUUGGUGUAAUCUUAUCUAGAGAUCCAGUUCAGGGCCAGCUCUGUCCUCACAGCAGAGGUUUGGAUCCCACUCUCUACGUGAGACUUAACACACAUGUUAAUGUUCCCCGGGGUAAUCUGGAGAGAAGUGCCACCACAGAUUCCAUAGUCUGUGUUCUGAAUACAGAACAGCUAUGAGUUUUAUUAUUAUUGAUAACCUCAGUAGCAUUUUCCUGAUCGAAAGCCUCCCCUGCUGCUCAGUCUGCUGUUGAGUUCCAUCAUUCCCAGUUAAAUAGACAAACACUUCCUUAACUUCGAGUUACCGACCAAGGAUUUGUUAGUAUGGAAACACAGACCGAGUGUGUUUACUAGGAGAAUCCAUAUAGAUUAUGGAGAUGCCUAGUUUCUGUUACAUGUGACUGUGCACAUGUAUGAUCCCAGAACUCACAGGCACAGGAAGAUCAUGGAUUUGAGGCCAGUAGCCAGUUCAAAACAAGGCUGCACUGAGAGCUCCAAGACCUGGACAUUGACCUCAUUAGUACAGUAAUUUGACUGAGGUUUGACUCUAAGUUCUUUUAAGAAAUGAACUUGAGCCUGUGCCCUGGGGAUUCGACUAUGUGGAGAGGCAAGUGAACUUUUUGACUAACAAGAGCUCAGUGCAUGGAGUUGGCUGUUCUUUCCUGUGUGACUUAUUAAAUAACUACUGUCUCUGUGUACAGCAUGUAAAUUUGAAGCUAUGUGAAUGUUCGUAGGGUUCUGUUUUUUUCUAAAAUAUUUUCAACAGUGUUUAGAGUGCUCUCAGCUGCCUUAUUUCAGUGUGAACAGAAAAUGUUCCUACUUUAUGUGGUGAAUGCUUUAAAUGUGUCACUUACAGAAUAGUGUGUAGGAAAAGGCUGGCACAAUUUUAAGUGGUUUGCAACAUUAUUAUAUAUGUACAUAUAUGUUUAUAACAUUCUUGUGUUUCAUAGUAUAAAUGUUCAGGGCAAGUUUUAAUAUUUCAAAUGCCUCUGGAUAUUCCAGCAAUAAAGGCAAAAUGUUCUGCAGUCAAAUUUCUCGUUUGCCUACUUUUGACACUAAAAUAAUCUGUAUUUGAGCAAGGUUCCUUUUGAAAAUAUUACAGAAAGAGGGAAUAAAUACAUUUGUGAAUUGUGGUUUUUUUCUCCUUUAGGAAGGCCAGCCAUUUGUUUACCUUCCAGAACUUGACCCUAAGCUCUAAGUUCAAGCUUAAAAAAUAUGUCCCAGUUUGUAAUUUAGAGAUAGAGGCCAUCCGUUGAGCUUGGCAUUUAUUCAGACACUAACAAGUCUGCCGAAGUUGAGCUUUGGGAGUUCUGCUAAUUUGUCUAAUGACACAGGUGCUAAGAGAACCACAAUUCACCAAUUGACCUUUCUUGUUCCUAAUUGUGAAUUUUGGCAAUAAACACAGUUGUAUUAAGAAUACUAAUUUGACACCCACAUUUGCAAAGUAUUGAUAGUGUCAGUUUCAGAUCUUGUAUUUCAGAUAUCUGGCUUACAUACCCAACGAUGCAGAUUUUAAAGUUUGUAAGAACAACUUUGUUUAAAAACAGAAACUUGCUCUUAGCUUUGUGACCGUGUACUUUUGAAAUAAAACGAAGAAAGUCGUCCCCUG
This 2190-nucleotide long non-coding RNA is filed under the name Rattus norvegicus (Norway rat). RNAcentral describes it as "long non-coding RNA NONRATT006405". The record is from RNAcentral. Lineage: Eukaryota; Metazoa; Chordata; Mammalia; Rodentia; Muridae.